UGGGGAAUCUUGGACAAUGGGGGCAACCCUGAUCCAGCCAUGCCGCGUGAGUGAUGAAGGCCUUAGGGUCGUAAAGCUCUUUCGCCUGUGAAGAUAAUGACGGUAGCAGGUAAAGAAACCCCGGCUAACUCCGUGCCAGCAGCCGCGGUAAUACGGAGGGGGUUAGCGUUGUUCGGAAUUACUGGGCGUAAAGCGCACGUAGGCGGACCAGAAAGUUGGGGGUGAAAUCCCGGGGGCUCAACCCCGGAACUGCCUCCAAAACUAUUGGUCUAGAGUUCGAGAGAGGUGAGUGGAAUUCCAAGUGUAGAGGUGAAAAUUCGUAGAUAUUUGGAGGAACACCAGUGGCGAAGGCGGCUCACUGGCUCGAUACUGACGCUGAGGUGCGAAAGUGUGGGGAGCAAACAGGAUUAGAUACCCUGGUAGUCCCACACCGUAAAACGAUGAAUGCCAGUCGUCGGGUAGCAUGCUAUUCGGUGACACACCUAACGGAUUAAGCAUUCCGCCUGGGGAGUACGGUCGCAAGAUUAAAACUCAAAUGAAUUG
Molecule: ribosomal RNA, 543 nt
Filed under: uncultured bacterium
Lineage: Bacteria
Description: bacterial SSU rRNA
Rfam family: Bacterial small subunit ribosomal RNA
Source: RNAcentral